This 245-nucleotide unclassified non-coding RNA is filed under the name plant metagenome. RNAcentral's name for it is "partial contains small subunit ribosomal RNA, internal transcribed spacer 1, and 5.8S ribosomal RNA". The record is from RNAcentral.
UCUCCGUUGGUGAACCAGCGGAGGGAUCAUUACCGAGUUUCCAACUCCCAAACCCAAUGUGAACGUUACCAAACUGUUGCCUCGGCGGGGUCACGCCCCGGGUGCGUCGCAGCCCCGGAACCAGGCGCCCGCCGGAGGAACCAACCAAACUCUUUCUGUAGUCCCCUCGCGGACGUUAUUUCUUACAGCUCUGAGCAAAAAUUCAAAAUGAAUCAAAACUUUCAACAACGGAUCUCUUGGUUCUG